Molecule: long non-coding RNA, 554 nt
Organism: Perca flavescens (yellow perch)
Lineage: Eukaryota; Metazoa; Chordata; Actinopteri; Perciformes; Percidae
Exons: 3
Source: RefSeq, a predicted model, not a curated record
CCAGAACAGCACUUGCUGCAGAGAACACAUGAGCGGAGCAGAAACCUUUGGACCAUUUUGUCAUUUUAAAAGUUUUUAGGACAAAUCUGCGAUUUUAACACAAGUAUUUUUGAAACGUCUGCUGCUGUUCAAUUGGAAAAUUGAAAGUUUGCACGGAAGCAUAAAGCAUGCUCCCCUGAUGGUACUGAUGACAUGAACAAGGAAACUCCCCCUCAGCCCCCAGAUGUCAUUGCCAGUACAGAUGAUUCAGAAAACACACAUGAAGCCAUGCCAACAACUAGUGCAGCCUGUGAUAUGCCAGAGAAUCAUAGUGUAGAAUGAUUCGGCUGAUCCGAAUGCCUGUGGUCCUCAACGCACCCCAGAGACAUAUGAUGCGGCUGUUGCUGAUCUCCAGGCUGAAAACAUCCAAGGCCUCAGAGGAAUAAAGGUGGCAUUUCUUCUUCAGUGCAAAUAUGAGUGACUCAGAGCGAACCUUCCUAGAUGUCGCCAUCAUGGAAGUCCUACCAGAACUUCCAGCAGUACACAAAAACAUCCUGGAAGAGCACUUGCAAUCC